CGGCGGAGACCUAGGCACCCANNNNNNNNNNNNNNCGUAAAUACCGACGAAACGCUUCGGGGAGCUGGCAAUAAGCGUUGAUCCGAAGAUCCCCGAAUAGGGCAACCUCAAGAACUACCUCCCUAAUUCAUAAGGAGGCAAGAGAGAACCCGGUGAACUGAAACAUCUAAGUAGCCGGAGGAAAAGAAAGCAAACGCGAUUCCCAUAGUAGCGGCGAGCGAAAAGGGAACAGCCUAAACCUGAACCUAGUUCAGGGGUCGUGGGAAGACAUUGUUCCCUUUGGUAAGCUGGUCAGAUCCUGGUGUUUUUACCCUGAUGCUUAUGCUUAUGCCCUUUGGUUUUUACCCGCUUCGCGGGCAAAGGCCCAAAGGGUAAAAACUCAUCCCUGAUGCUGAUGCUCCGCAUAAGCAUAGGGAUAUGCAUCUGCAUCAGGGAUAUGCAUAAGCAUAUGAGUAAAAACAGACAUGGAUCAAACCACCCCGAACCAAACCUAGAACAAAGAAAAAUAUAAACUUGUGAAAUACGAAGCAGCUGAAACCUGUUACCAUAGAAGGUGAAAGUCCUGUAGUAUUGCAAGCUUUGACUCUAUUAUGUCUAAAUCCCGAGUAGCAUGGGGCACGUGAAAUCCCGUGUGAAUCAGCGAGGACCACCUCGUAAGGCUAAAUACUCCUGGGUGACCGAUAGCGAAAUAGUACCGCGAGGGAAAGGUAAAAAGAACCCCCGUUGGGGAGUGAAAUAGAACAUGAAACCGAACGCUGACAAGCAGUGGGAGGGCUGGCGUAAAGCCGACGAAGCCUGACCGCGUGCCUGUUGAAGAAUGAGCCGGCGACUUGUAGGAAUUGGCAAGGUUAAGAACUAAAAUUCGAAGCCUAAGCGAAAGCGAGUCUGAAUAGGGCAUAUAAGUCAUUUCUUACGGACCCGAACCCGGUCGAUCUAACCAUGUCCAGGAUGAAGCUGGGGUAAUACCCAUCGGAGGGCCGAACUCACCGAUGUUGAAAAAUCGGGAGAUGAGGUGUGGUUAGGGGUGAAAUACCAAUCGAAGAUCGGAGCUAGCUGGAUCUCCCCGAAAUGCGUUGAGAAGCAGCGGUGCCGAAGAGCUACGUUGUGGUAAAGCACUGUUUCGAUACGGGCUGCGAAAGCGGUACCAAGUCGUAGCAAACUCAGAAUACAAUGUAUUGCUUUCCGUGAACCAGUGAGUCUAGCGGGGAUAAGCUUGUUAGACAAAAGGGAAACAGCCCAGAUCACCAGCUAAGGCCCCUAAAUGGCCACUAAGUGGAAAAGGAUGUGAGAAUGCAUAAACAACCAGGAGGUUUGCUUAGAAGCAGCCACCCUUUAAAGAGUUCGUAACAGAACACUGGUAAAGCGUUCUUGCGCCGACAAUAGCCGGGACUAAGUGGCCUGCCGAAGCUGUGAGUAGUUGCUUUUUUUAUAAUAAAAAAAAGCAGGUUCGGUAGGGGAGCGUUCUGUUAUCGGGUGAAGUUCAACCGAGAGGUUGGGUGGACGUCGCAGAAGCGAGAAUGUUGGUUUGAGUAACGAAAACAUUGGUGAGAAUCCAAUGCCCCGAAAACCUAAGGGUUCCUCUACAAGGUUCGUCCAUGGGGGGUUAGUCAGGACCUAAGGCGAGGCCGAGCGGCGUAGUCGAUGGAAAACAGGUUAAUAUUCCUGUACUUAUUUUUGCUUCCUGGUUUUACCAGGAAAGAAGCGAGGGACGAAGGAGGCUAAGCUGAGACUGUUUAGGAAUGCAGUGGAAGCGUUCAAGGUUUUAACACUCGAACAAAAACGAGUGCAGUUUUGUUCUAACCGACAUUACAGGCUGAGACGUGAUCCUUUGGUUUUCAGUACUAUGUGCGGAUUAUCAAAUCAGUGAUGUCAAACUUCCAAGAAAAGCUCGUACUUUUUAACACAAAAAUAACCUGUACCUGAAACCGACACAGGUAGGUUGGUAGAGUAUACCAAGGGGCGCGAGAGAACUCUCUCUAAGGAACUCGGCAAACUGGCCCCGUAACUUCGGAAGAAGGGGCGCUAUGUCUUUUAAGGCCAUAGCCGCAGUGACCAGGCUCAGGCGACUGUUUACCAAAAACACAGGUCUCCGCAAAGUCGUAAGACAACGUAUGGGGGCUGACGCCUGCCCAGUGCCGGAAGGUUAAGGAAGUUGGUUAAAGGUGUUAAAGCCUUGAAGCUGACGACCGAAGCCCCGGUGAACGGCGGUCGUAACUAUAACGAUCCUAAGGUAGCGAAAUUCAUUGUCGGGUAAGUUCCGACCUGCACGAAAGGCGUAACGAUCUGAGCGCUGUCUCGGAGAGAGACUCGGUGAAAUAGACUUGUCCGUGAAGAUGCGGACUAAUAUUACCUGGACAGAAAGACCCUAUGAAGCUUGACUGUAUCCUGGAAUUGGGUUUGGGCUUUUCUUGCGCAGUCUAGGUGGGAGGCUAAGAAGAUUUCCUUCUGGGGAAGUUGGAGCCAUCAGUGAGAGACCACUCUGGAAGAGCUAGAAUUCUAAUGGUGUUCCUUGAAUCAGGACACUUGACAGUUUCAGGUGGGCAGUUUAUUUGGGGCGAAUACCUCAUAAAAGGUAACUGAGGUGUGCAAAGGUUCUCUCAGCCUGGACGGAAAUCAGGCAUUGAGUGCAAAGGCAAAAGAGAGCUUGACUGCAAGACCCACAAGUCGAGCAGGGGCGAAAGCCGGUCUUAGUGAUCCGACGGUGCCGCGUGGAAGGGCCGUCGCUCAACGAAUAAAAGUUACUCUAGGGAUAACAGGCUGAUCUUCCCCAAGAGUCCAUAUCGACGGGAAGGUUUGGCACCUCGAUGUCGGCUCAUCCUAGCUCAGGGCUGAUGUAGGUCCUAAGAGUUGGGCUGUUCGCCCAUUAAAAGGGUACGUGAGCUGGGUUCAAAACGUCGUGAGACAGUUCGGUCCAUAUCCG
RNAcentral lists this ribosomal RNA (2920 nucleotides) under Staurocarteria crucifera. RNAcentral's name for it is "LSU rRNA". It matches the Rfam family "Bacterial large subunit ribosomal RNA", at positions 22 to 2644 of the family's 2925-position model. Lineage: Eukaryota; Viridiplantae; Chlorophyta; Chlorophyceae; Chlamydomonadales; Chlamydomonadaceae. The record is from RNAcentral.